UCCUCACAAGGGGCGCCAGUCUGCC
RNAcentral lists this unclassified non-coding RNA (25 nucleotides) under Mus musculus (house mouse). RNAcentral's name for it is "oocyte_clustered_small_RNA2944". The record is from RNAcentral. Lineage: Eukaryota; Metazoa; Chordata; Mammalia; Rodentia; Muridae.